AUGAUCUUCUUAGCCUGGAACUGCCGAGGAUUGGGGUUGGACUCGGCAGUUGGCGAGCUUAGGGACCUGGUUAGGUCAUACAACCCAGAGGUGGUGUUUCUUUCGGAAACGAAGAAACGAGCGGGGGCAAUGGAGAGGUUAAAAUGGAGUUUGGGUUUCCAUCAAGGUGUGGCGGUGGACUGUAAGGGCAAGAGUGGUGAACUGGCACUGUGGUGGAGAGAU
This 222-nucleotide ribosomal RNA is filed under the name Triticum aestivum (bread wheat). RNAcentral's name for it is "partial small subunit ribosomal RNA". The record is from RNAcentral. Lineage: Eukaryota; Viridiplantae; Streptophyta; Magnoliopsida; Poales; Poaceae.